RNAcentral lists this ribosomal RNA (460 nucleotides) under uncultured bacterium. RNAcentral describes it as "partial 16S ribosomal RNA". It matches the Rfam family "Bacterial small subunit ribosomal RNA", at positions 338 to 795 of the family's 1533-position model. The record is from RNAcentral.
CCUACGGGUGGCAGCAGUGAGGAAUAUUGGUCAAUGGCCGUAAGGCUGAACCAGCCAAGUCGCGUGAAGGAAGAAGGACCUAUGGUUUGUAAACUUCUUUUAUAGGGGAAUAAAGUUAUCCACGUGUGGUUUUUUGCAUGUACCCUAUGAAUAAGCAUCGGCUAACUCCGUGCCAGCAGCCGCGGUAAUACGGAGGAUGCGAGCGUUAUCCGGAUUUAUUGGGUUUAAAGGGAGCGUAGGUUGUUUUUUAAGUCAGCGGUGAAAGUUUGUGGCUCAACCAUAAAAUUGCCGUUGAAACUGGCAGUCUUGAGUACGUUUGAGGUAGGCGGAAUGCGUGGUGUAGCGGUGAAAUGCAUAGAGAUCACGCAGAACUCCGAUUGCGAAGGCAGCUUACUAAGCUAUAACUGACACUGAAGCACGAAAGCGUGGGGAUCAAACAGGAUUAGAUACCCCAGUAGUC